This 440-nucleotide ribosomal RNA is filed under the name uncultured Sphingobacteriales bacterium. RNAcentral describes it as "bacterial SSU rRNA". It matches the Rfam family "Bacterial small subunit ribosomal RNA", at positions 943 to 1382 of the family's 1533-position model. The record is from RNAcentral. Lineage: Bacteria; Pseudomonadati; Bacteroidota; Sphingobacteriia; Sphingobacteriales.
GGUUUAAUUCGAUGAUACGCGAGGAACCUUACCUGGGCUUAAAUGUAGAGUGCAUUGAGAGGAAACUUUCAUUUUCUUCGGUAACUCUUUACAAGGUGCUGCAUGGUUGUCGUCAGCUCGUGCCGUGAGGUGUCGGGUUAAGUCCCAUAACGAGCGCAACCCUUAUCGUUAGUUGCCAGCGGGUAAUGCCGGGAACUCUAGCGAAACUGCCGGUGUAAACCGAGAGGAAGGUGGGGAUGACGUCAAAUCAGCACGGCCCUUAUGUCCAGGGCUACACACGUGUUACAAUGGCCGGUACAGAGGGCAGCUACCUGGAGACAGGAUGCGAAUCUCGAAAGCCGGUCUCAGUUCGGAUCGGAGUCUGCAACCCGACUCCGUGAAGCUGGAUUCGCUAGUAAUCGCGCAUCAGCCAUGGCGCGGUGAAUACGUUCCCGGGCCUU